Molecule: long non-coding RNA, 1845 nt
Filed under: Gadus morhua (Atlantic cod)
Lineage: Eukaryota; Metazoa; Chordata; Actinopteri; Gadiformes; Gadidae
Description: lncRNA (ENSGMOG00000031726.1)
Source: RNAcentral
GGAAAUUUAUCCAAGCGCCGCACAGGGUUAAUUUAUUUUCGACACGCACAGCCCGGCGCACGGAAGCAUCCGGAGUCUCUGUGGACAGGUGACACACGUAGUGUGUACUCCCGUCGGUGCAAGCCUCAUGCGACCACUUAUAGCAAAAAUCACACUGGACCCAAGGUGGGGGUGACUCCAUCAGCGGGCCAGGUGAUGGUGGGAGGAGCAGCUGAGGUGGCACCAGGGGUGACUCCAGCAAGGGGGGCGGCAUCAGGAGCGGGCGAGAAGAGCCUCUUCUUGGGAGCCAGAGAGGAGGGAGGCUGCUUGGCGGGACGACGCUGCUUCAGAGUUCGGGGUGUCGUAAGUAUAGCAGUUGUCCUGAAAACAUUAAAUUUGACAUUUUAAUGCUAAUUGAAUUACUUUAAAUGUGGUAGGUCUACAUGACUGUAGACAAAGGCAGGCCAGACAAGAUAUGAGAUGCAAGAGUAACUCCAAAUGCCUCUUUCUCCCUCUUCUCUUGGUAAUCUUUCUAGGCCCGGCCUUAGGGUAAGACCGGACGAUGUCCAGGCUGAAUUCGAGGGCAUCUUCCUCAGCCCAGACAGCUUCGUCAGGCCCGGCAGCUAGUCCAGGUACAUCCAUGCCUGCCAAAGGACACAUUUAAAAAAUACACUUUUAAAUAAAAAAAUGUUUAUAUCCCCACCCUCCUGAUCCUUGUUAAAUACCCUGAUGUGAGAGUUGUAGCCUGGUGGUCUAGCUCUCUCUGCCAUCCACUAACCUAUGGAAUUUUUUUAUGAACUUUGACUUAUGGGACUAUUUACUUAUGUAUUAUGAACUCUGUUGCUUCUGAUGAACUGUUCCUACCUGAAGUGGCACCUGGAGAAGCGCUGACCUCGUCACCUGAAGCCUGGGGAGGAGGACGGUCUGUGGAAUAGGAUCCGGUGAAGUCCUUUUCCUCAAACACGGAGGGUUUAAAAGGCCAGAUCCCUGGACUAGAGAACCCGGAUGUGAUGUUCUUCACUGUUGCAGCCUCUGGUAAGGCUUCAGCAACGAUGGAGGGCACAUCAUAAAUCGAGAUGUUGGGGGCUCCUCAUCCACCUGUCCGCCGCACUGUUUACGUACCCCUUUAGGGGGCCGAAGACACUAAUGUCCAUUGGCUGCAACCUGCGGGUGCAGUGGGGAGGGAAUGACAGCAGCACUAUGCCGUUGGCUCUGCAGUAAUCGAUUGCUGCAAUUGACAGGUGGGACGGGUGAUUGUCCAGCAGGCGGAGCAGCUUCGACUCCUUGGACACGGGUGUGACUGGUGAAGUGGGCCAGGUACAGGAGGAAGUCUGGCUCCUUCCUCCAGCAAGUUGGGUUUGCGGUGCCAGCACAGCCAACGGGUCCACCCCUCAGGAAGUGGUCUUCGAACCGCUUACGGGGGAAGAUAAAGAAUGGGGGAACAAGGUCGCCCUGCGCAUUGCAUGCCAGGGCAACUGUGACCAGGGUCCCCCUCUCCGCUGAGGUCACUGACCCGACCUGCUUCUGCCCCAUCUGGGCGACGACACGCCUGGCACCUGGACAGUGGUGACCCCUGUAAAUAGUUGUGUGAGCAUAGUUGUGUAUAUAUAUAGUUAUGUGUAUAUAGUUGUUUUUAUAUGUAUAUAGUUGUUAGCAUCGUUUCUAUUUAGAUAUCUAGUUACGUUUAUAUCGUUUUUUUCAUAUUUAUAUGGUUGUGAGCAUAGUUUAUUUUUAUAAACGUAGUUAUGUGUUUAUAGUUGUGUUUUAUAUUAAUAUAGUUCAUAAAUACCGGUUUCAUUAAUGUUCCAAAUAUCCUUGGCCUGGAACUGGUGCCGGUCCAGCACCGUCUUUCAAUUUUGGUAGAAC